Molecule: ribosomal RNA, 259 nt
Filed under: uncultured Leptotrichia sp.
Lineage: Bacteria; Fusobacteriati; Fusobacteriota; Fusobacteriia; Fusobacteriales; Leptotrichiaceae
Description: partial 16S ribosomal RNA
Rfam family: Bacterial small subunit ribosomal RNA
Source: RNAcentral
UGGCGGACGGGUGAGUAACGCGUAAAGAACUUGCCCUUUAGACUGGGAUAACAGAGGGAAACUUCGGAUAAUACUGGAUAAGUUAGUAUAUCGCAUGAUAUGCAAAUGAAAGCUACGGCACUAAAGGAGAGCUUUGCGUCCUAUUAGCUAGUUGGUAAGGUAAGAGCUUACCAAGGCGAUGAUAGGUAGCCGGCCUGAGAGGGUGGACGGCCACAAGGGGACUGAGAUACGGCCCUUACUCCUACGGGAGGCAGCAGCG